This 492-nucleotide ribosomal RNA is filed under the name uncultured bacterium. Its description in RNAcentral is "partial 16S ribosomal RNA". It matches the Rfam family "Bacterial small subunit ribosomal RNA", at positions 29 to 507 of the family's 1533-position model. The record is from RNAcentral.
AGUGAACGCUGGCGGUAGGCCUAACACAUGCAAGUCGAACGGCAGCACAGUAAGAGCUUGCUCUUACGGGUGGCGAGUGGCGGACGGGUGAGGAAUACAUCGGAAUCUACUUUUUCGUGGGGGAUAACGUAGGGAAACUUACGCUAAUACCGCAUACGACCUACGGGUGAAAGCAGGGGAUCUUCGGACCUUGCGCGAUUGAAUGAGCCGAUGUCGGAUUAGCUAGUUGGCGGGGUAAAGGCCCACCAAGGCGACGAUCCGUAGCUGGUCUGAGAGGAUGAUCAGCCACACUGGAACUGAGACACGGUCCAGACUCCUACGGGAGGCAGCAGUGGGGAAUACUGGACAAUGGGCGCAAGCCUGAUCCAGCCAUACCGCGUGGGUGAAGAAGGCCUUCGGGUUGUAAAGCCCUUUUGUUGGGAAAGAAAAGCAGCAGGUUAAUACCCCGCUGUUCCGACGGUACCCAAAGAAUAAGCACCGGCUAACUUCGUG